UCUUAUUUUAUUGUCUACUUUUUAUAAAAAAAAAAACAUUAAAUAAUAUUGUCUAUAUUUUUUAAAAGUUUGGAGCCAAUUAUAAUAUUUAUAAAUAAUUCGGCAAAUAAAUGCACCAAUAUUAAAUGCAUAUCAAAAGCUACACCGACUUUACACGUGUCGGUGCUACAACAACAACCAAUAUCAAAGGUGUGGUCGCAAAAGUGAUGUAUUGAUAUUAUGGUAAUAGACACGAAUCUCUGUUUUUUGAGUUCCCUGCAAUUGUAGUACACGAUCCAUUAGAUUUCGUGGUUCUCACCUAAGACUUCGGAAUGUUAAAUGGUUAGUUUGCGACUAGUCCAAGUCAUUUAUGGAAUGCUCUUCACACAAAAAUACUCGUAAAUAACAAACAUAUUUUUAUAUAAAUGAAUAAGAUGAUGAGCUUUUACGACAUUGCAGUAUAAGAAGAAUGCAAGUUAAUUACGAUAAUGAGCCAGAAGUACUAAAUUAUAACAAAAAAAA
Lucilia sericata (common green bottle fly) is the source of this 501-nucleotide long non-coding RNA. RefSeq lists it as uncharacterized. The record is from RefSeq and is a predicted model, not a curated record. The transcript is spliced from 2 exons. NCBI's taxonomy places the organism in Eukaryota, Metazoa, Arthropoda, Insecta, Diptera, Calliphoridae.